AAAUGACCAUCCACAAACAAGAAAACUCCCAGUAAAAGACACUGGAUUAUGUGUAUUCCUGUGAACAGAAAAAAAUUCAGCUGCAAGCCUGUGGCAUUCAAUUUCAUCUUUCAGGAAUUUUCUUCAUAUUCACAAAUGAAUAGACAUUAUUCAGCUUUUGUCUGCAAAUGAUAAAACAAAGCCAGCACCAGGAAACAGAGCCAAGGAGAAGAACAGCCUUGAACGCGGAAGAACACGCGGAUGCGAUGUGGCUGAGAUGUCAGAAAUAGAACUGCAGCAGUUUGGCAUGAAGUAUCAGAGAGAGCAAGAGUAUACAGCAAAAAUUAAGUGUUUAACCUACCACCAUCUUAAUGGGAAAACAUAUGAAGCAAAUUAUUUAAACAGAGCUUAUUUUAGGAACAAUACAUUGUUUAAGAAAAAAACCCAUCUGCCUGUGAAAAAUUUCUGCCAAAAGAUAUCCUGUCCUUCAGUGGUAAGGUCAGCAAUUUCAAGAGGCCAAACUCUUUUGAAGAAGAUGGGAAGGGGAGAAGCAUUUGGAGGCUGGGUUGUGCUCCUCUACAUCUGCUGUGAUGGGACAGCUGCACUAGGGCAGGGUCCCUGCCACAUGAAGAGACAGAAGACCUGGUUUAGCUGCAUUGGAAAUGGGACUGCCAUUUCAUUCUGCCUGCUGCAACAAUCACUAGGAUCCUCAAGUGAUUUCAUCAAGCUGUCUUCUAUCAUAAAACAUGAAGGAAAUUAAUUUUACUUGCAAGUGAGAGAAUUGGACAACAGCUUGAUGACAAGUUGGAAUGAGAGCAAAAACAAAAAAAAAGUCCCCUGCUAUAGCAACAGUAAUCCAUUUCACACUGUUUCCCACAUGUUUGUGCAGGACUUUUUCAAGUACCACCUAUGGACAUCUUUCCUAUACUUUUACCCAGAGUAAAACUUCACAAAGAGUAGACACAGAAAGGCCAGAACAUCUGGCAGAGUAAAUACCAUAGAUAUAGAAAUGGGAUUAUCAAUUUUACACAGUGCAUUUUCUCCUUUUUUUUUUUAGAUGGCACUUAAAAUCAAGAGCUUUUCUGAGAAAACAUGCAAAAUGUUGUAAAACCACAUCUGAAAACACAACAAAAAUUAUUAAAAACAUCAUUCUGCAUUUAAAGCAUUUACCACAGCCUGAGAAAAUCCUUUUUAUUGUUCAAAGUAAUGGUUGAUCUCAACAUCUGAAAGCAGAUAGAGGGAGGCAAAGAAGCCAAUCAAUCAUUUACCAAAGCAGAGUGUUGCAUAUAUGGUUUUCUCUAUGCAGCUUGCUUUUUUCCUCACAUUCACAAAGUCUUGAUAAUUAA
RNAcentral lists this long non-coding RNA (1325 nucleotides) under Junco hyemalis (dark-eyed junco). Its description in RNAcentral is "lncRNA (ENSJHYG00000012750.1)". The record is from RNAcentral. Lineage: Eukaryota; Metazoa; Chordata; Aves; Passeriformes; Passerellidae.